RNAcentral lists this ribosomal RNA (190 nucleotides) under uncultured bacterium. Its description in RNAcentral is "partial 16S ribosomal RNA". It matches the Rfam family "Bacterial small subunit ribosomal RNA", at positions 1309 to 1500 of the family's 1533-position model. The record is from RNAcentral.
AACUCGCCUGCAUGAAGUCGGAAUUGCUAGUAAUCGCGGAUCAGCAUGCCGCGGUGAAUACGUUCUCGGGCCUUGUACACACCGCCCGUCACACCGUGGGAGUCGGUAACACCCGAAGUCUGUAGCCUGACGCAAGAGGGCNCAGCCGAAGGUGGGAUUGAUGACUGGGGUGAAGUCGUAACAAGGUACC